AGCAGAUCCAACUGCUAUCCAGCAGCUCCAACUGCUAUCCAGCAGAUCCGGCUGAUAUCCAGCAGAUCCAACCGCAGACCAGCAGAUCCAACCGCAGACCAGCAGAUCCAACCGCAGACCAGCAGGUCCAACCGCGGGCCAGCAGGUCCAACUGCAGGCCAGCAGGUCCAACUGCUAACCAACUGCCCACUGCGCUCGGCAUUAUUGCAUCACGUGACAUCACAGGGUACUGAACGCCCCCAGCCCAAUGGCGGCGGUGUCCUGGCCAGCCCCAGUCCCAGCCUUGCUCUCCACUGCCGCCCUUCACAGCAACGGCUCCACCCUACCCAGCUGUGGUUUGUUUGCCCCUCUUCAGCUGAAUCCAGGACUCCUCCUUCCCCCUCAGCCUGUCUCACAGGCUUUGACCAGCACAGCUCACCUCAGCAGUGCCCCCCGGGUGCGGGCUGAAGGCAGGUUGGGAUGCCAGUAUUAAAAACGUUCUGUUAGCACCCAUCUGCUGCUGUUUUGUCUUCACCAAUGGAACUGUGCCUCUGCUGCUGGGUGUUAGGCGGUAAUUCCUCCUGAUUGCGAGGCCAACAUGUGUGCCUGAGCGAUGUGGGGGGCAAGGAGCGCAGCGCCUCUCGGCCUGAGGAGCUCUCUCCCUCAGCUCUGCUCUGCAGAGCGUUUACUCUGUGCCAGUGGUCAGCAGUGUGGCUGCUCUCAGCUUUUCCCCACAUCUAUAAACGUUCUGAUCGUUUUCUGACACACGAGGACACUCAGAGGAGCAGAGGUUGGGCGCCAGUGGGCUCUGUGGUGUGGUGUAACCCAGCAGCCACUCAGGCCUAUACCUUUGAUCAGUCUACUGCAGUCUUUGAUCAGACUACUGCAGAGGGAUGAGAGAGAGAACUGGAAAUGAAAUUGAACAAGUGGGACGAAAUAAAAAAAUACCUGCAAAGGCAGAAGACAAGAAGGGAAACCUCAAUACAGUGAUUACACUGUAUAGGGCCACGAUGCACUUACUCAACGCUCUCCAGCAACACACAGCAAUAAACAGUGCGUGUUUCUUCACAACCUAAUCCAGCCUUACCUGCCCUAAUUAACCCCCCCACCCGGAACAGCGAUGAGUCAUAAACUUUUAUUUAAU
RNAcentral lists this long non-coding RNA (1123 nucleotides) under Gallus gallus (chicken). RNAcentral's name for it is "lncRNA (ENSGALG00010014921.1)". Lineage: Eukaryota; Metazoa; Chordata; Aves; Galliformes; Phasianidae. The record is from RNAcentral.